Molecule: small RNA, 2362 nt
Filed under: Pan troglodytes (chimpanzee)
Lineage: Eukaryota; Metazoa; Chordata; Mammalia; Primates; Hominidae
Description: retained intron
Source: RNAcentral
GUUUUUAGUAGAGACGGGGUUUCACCAUAUUGGCCAGGAUGGUCUCAAUCUCCUGACCUCGUGAUCCACCCGCCUCGGCCUUCCAAAGUGCUGGGAUUACAGGCAUCAGCCACUGCGCCUGGCCGGCCUUGCUUUUUAGAGACAGUUGAGAUGAGAGAAGACUUGGUAAGGGCAAACGGGCUUGCAUGCCAGUUCUUUGGGUCCUGGACCACCUUUGAAAAUAUGCAAAGCUCUGUACACUCUCAGAGAAGUAUGCAUAUAUGCAGAGUUUGGUUUAUAGUUUUCUAUACUUCACUGUCUCUGAGGGCAGUCUUUUUGCCCUGUGUUAGCCUUGGAUUAGAGGGUAACAACAAUCAUGUAAGGCUGUGGUUCUCAAGUGUGGUGUUAGAAGUGCUCAUCAUCAGGUUCCACCUCAGAAACAGAUUGGGACCCAGCUAUCUGUGUUUUAAGAAGCUUUCCAGAUGAUUUUUGCCACACUUUAGGGAGAGUCCCCUGAUGAAAUUUAUACUCCUGUGUGGUCCUUAUGCUUCACACAUCCCAUAUUGUGCCUUUGAGAGACCACCUGCCAUCCUCUUGUUGUGACAGUACUCUAUUCCUCCUAGGCUAUGUCUUGCCCAGCCAUGUGACUGAGGAGAUGCUAUGGGAGUGCAAGCAGCUUGGGGCUCACUCCCCCUCCACCUUGCUGACCACCCUCAUGUUCUUUAAUACCAAGUAAGUGUUCUAGAGGCUCCACUGCUGGCAUCUGUCCAGUGAAGAGUGUGGAAACUAUCCAAGAGGCCUUCUGAAUUCCUCUGACAUAUAUUUGAGAAACUGGGCUACUGAAAGCCCUAACCCCACUUGGCUGCAUUUUAUUUGGUAACCAGUGAGGCAAACACCCUUGCCAGACCCCUACCAUCCAUCUUGAUGUGGUUCCUGCAUUGGACACUGCUUGGGUAUGGGCCUGCCCAGAUCUUGGGAAUGUGGGCAGUGGCUCCUCUGAAGCACCAGUGGGCAGAGGAUGAGUCAUGGUAUCCUCCCGGCACCCCUCCCUCUGCCUUGCAUUUUACUUGUGAUCCAGGUACUUCCUAUUGAAGACAGUGGACCAGCACAUGAAGCUGGCCUUCUCCAAGGUCUUGCGACAGACAAAGAAGAACCCCUCUAAUCCCAAGGAUAAAAGCACGAGUAUCCGGUACUUGAAGGCCCUUGGAAUACACCAGACUGGCCAGAAAGGUAGGGAAAGGAGGCAGGGAUGGCAAAAACAGGUGCUACUUGUCCUGCCCUGUCCUGCCCUUGUGCCUGUGAGGCUAGUGAUAAGUGUAAAGGUUGGGAUUUGCUGGAUAAAAUUCUCCACUCCCUUCUCCCCAGCCAAAAAUUCCAAACUUUCCUCCUAGAAGCAGAGAAGCCCCAGACAGAAUAGCUGCCUCUUCCCUUAGUAGUCACUGCCCAUGCCUCAUACCUUCCCUCCCCCGACCCUGUAUUUCCUAGUUGGGCUGGCUGAAAGCCUAAGGUUCCUGAUCUGGGCCUGAGGUAAGGCAGUCUGAUGCCAGGUCUGUGGUGGUGGGGAUGUGUGUUUUAUAGUUACAGAUGACAUGUAUGCAGAACAGACGGAAAAUCCAGAGAAUCCAUUGAGAUGUCCCAUCAAGCUCUAUGAUUUCUACCUCUUCAAAUGCCCCCAGAGUGUGAAAGGCCGGAAUGACACCUUUUACCUGACACCUGAGCCGGUGGUGGCCCCCAACAGCCCAAUCUGGUACUCAGUCCAGCCUAUCAGCAGAGAGCAGAUGGGACAAAUGCUGACGCGGAUCCUGGUGAUAAGAGAAAUUCAGGAGGCCAUCGCAGUGGCCAAUGCAAGCACUAUGCACUGAGAUGCCUUGGCCAUGGCACAAGAGAAACCAGCCAGGAAAAACCAGACAGACUUUCACACUAAAGAAGAGGCCUCCAUUUUUUUUUCUUUUUUUUUUAUUGGUGUAGUUACGAAGCCUUUCAGGCUGCUUCUGUUUAAAAUAUAAAAGAAAACUUUGCCCCCUUUGCAUCUUCAUAAACCUGCUGCAGCAGACUCCUCAGCCGAUGGUGGCUCUGGGUUUCCUUGAGUGUCAUAUGUCCUAGAAAGUUGCUGGCUGACUCUUUUUUGUCUGGGGCCUGGGGAAAGGGCUUGGACUGUGAAAAGAAAUGUGGCCCCUUUCCAUCUUCAAGAGAGAUGGAAUUAAUGGUGGAUGGACCCUGCAGGGAAUCUCCCCAGCCAACUUCCACUGGGCUGACAGACUUUGCUGACCACAGGGGAACGAUGUUCUUUUCUUUCUUCAUGCUCAGACAUAAACUUAGCAUCUUAAUGGAAGAAAAAUGAGGGGAACUUCAAUUAUGAUUUAUUAAAGACAAUUUCUAUUAC